This 499-nucleotide ribosomal RNA is filed under the name uncultured bacterium. RNAcentral describes it as "partial 16S ribosomal RNA". It matches the Rfam family "Bacterial small subunit ribosomal RNA", at positions 28 to 507 of the family's 1533-position model. The record is from RNAcentral.
GACGAACGCUGGCGGCGUGCCUAAUACAUGCAAGUCGAGCGAAGUUUUUCUGGUGCUUGCACUAGAAAAACUUAGCGGCGAACGGGUGAGUAACACGUAAAGAACCUGCCUCAUAGACUGGGACAACUAUUGGAAACGAUAGCUAAUACCGGAUAACAGUAUUUCUCGCAUGAGAGAUAUUUAAAAGUUGGUUAUGCUAACACUAUGAGAUGGCUUUGCGGUGCAUUAGCUAGUUGGUGGGGUAAAGGCCCACCAAGGCGACGAUGCAUAGCCGACCUGAGAGGGUGAUCGGCCACACUGGGACUGAGACACGGCCCAGACUCCUACGGGAGGCGGCAGUAGGGAAUCUUCCGCAAUGGGCGAAAGCCUGACGGAGCAACGCCGCGUGAGUGAAGAAGGAUUUCGGUUCGUGAAGCUCUGUUGUUAGGGAAGAAUGGAUAUGUAGUAACUAUACAUGUAAGAGACGGUACCUAACCAGAAAGCCACGGCUAACUACGUG